GAAAGUAAACAAGGGCGCAUGGAGGAUGCCUAGGCUCUCGGAGGCGAAGAAGGACGUGAUAAGCUGCGAAAAGUUACGGUAAGGCGCAAAUAGCCCUAGACCCGUAAAUAUCCGAAUGGGGCAACCCGGCCAGCAAUGGCCAUACCGCCAAGCGGUAAGCCAACGCGGGGAACUGAAACAUCUAAGUACCCGCAGGAAAAGAAAAUAACAAUGAUUCCGCCAGUAGUGGCGAGCGAACGCGGAACAGCCCAAACCACCCGUGUUACGGCACGGGUGGGGUAGAAGGAUCCACGAUACGGCAAGAAAUAAGUUAGCAGAAUACGAUGGAAAUCGUAGCCAAAGACGGUGACAGCCCGGUACGCGAAAACCGACAGAAGCCCAGUGGACACCUGAGUAACCCAGGACACGAGAAAUCCGGGGCGAAUCAGCGGGGCCCAUCCCGUAAGGCUAAAUACUCCCGAGAGACCGAUAGCGAACCAGUACUGUGAAGGAAAGGUGAAAAGAACCUCGAACAGAGGAGUGAAAGAGACCCUGAAACCAUGCGCCUACAAGCGGUCGGAGCAUGUUAAAAUGUGACGGCGUGCCUUUUGCAUAAUGAACCUACGAGUUACUCUCGCUGGCAAGGUUAAGCGAUUCAGUCGCGCAGCCGAAGCGAAAGCAAGUCCGAACAAGGCGUACAGUCAGCGGGAGUAGACGCGAAACCAAGUGAUCUACCCUUGGUCAGGUUGAAGGUUGGGUAACACCAACUGGAGGACCGCACCGAUAAGCGUUGAAAAGCUUACGGAUGAACUGAGGGUAGGAGUGAAAGGCCAAUCAAACUUGGAGAUAGCUCGUACUCCCCGAAAUGCAUUUAGGUGCAGCCUCGAAGCAGAGUGAUAGAGGUAGAGCGACUGAUAAGAUGCGAGGGCUUCACCGCCUAUCAAGUCUUGACAAACUCCGAAUACUAUCACUUGAUCUUUGGGAGUGAGGGCAUGGGUGCUAAGGUCCAUGUCCGAAAGAGGAACAACUCAGACCACCAGCUAAGGUCCCGAAAUAAGGGCUAAGUUGAAUAAACGAAGUAAAACUGCAAAGACAGCUAGGAUGUUGGCUUGGAAGCAGCCAUUCAUUUAAAGAGUGCGUAACAGCUCACUAGUCGAGGAGUUUUGCAUGGAUAAUAAUCGGGCAUAAGCCCUUUACCGAAGCUGUGGAUGUCGUAAGACAUGGUAGGGGAGCAUUCCGGCGGCGACGAAGGCCGUCCUCGAGGACGACUGGAGCUUUCGGAAAAGCAAAUGUAGGUAUAAGUAACGAUAAAGGGGGCGUGAAACCCCCUCGCCAUAAGACUAAGGAUUCCUGAUCAACGCUAAUCGGAUCAGGGUAAGUCGGGCCCUAAGGCGCAGCCGAACGGCGUAGCCGAUGGAAGAAACGGUAAAGAUUCCGUUACUGGAUAUAGGAGCGAUGUGGAGACGGAGAAGUGACACACCCGCCUGCCGACGGAAGCGCAGGUUAAAGGAAGUAGGUAAACGCCGGGUAGGCAAAUCCGCCCAGCGUGCCGAAGCUGACAGUAUCGAGAGCCCCCGGGCAAUCGAAUAGCGGUGGUAAUCAGGCUCCCAAGAAAAUCCGCUAAGCAAAUUCUAUAUCCACCCGUACCCCAAACGGACACACGUAGUCGGGUAGAAUAUACCAAGGCGCUCGAAAGACUCACGGUUAAGGAACUAGGCAAAUUGACCCUGUAACCUCGGGAAAAAGGGUCCCCAGUAAGAUGGGGCGCAGAGAAUAGGUCCAGGCAACUGUUUAACAAAAACACAGGGCUGUGCAAAAUUUCAAGAUGAAGUAUACAGCCUGACACCUGCCCGGUGCCGGAAGGUUAAGAGGAGAGCUAAUCGCAAGAGAAGGCUUGAAUUGAAGCCCCGGUAAACGGCGGCCGUAACUAUAACGGUCCUAAGGUAGCGAAAUUCCUUGUCGGGUAAGUUCCG
RNAcentral lists this ribosomal RNA (1952 nucleotides) under human gut metagenome. RNAcentral's name for it is "bacterial LSU rRNA". It matches the Rfam family "Bacterial large subunit ribosomal RNA", at positions 1 to 1985 of the family's 2925-position model. The record is from RNAcentral.